ACAUCCAGAGAACUUAGCAGAGAUUGCUUUUGGGUGCCUUUCGGGAACUCUGAGACAGGUGCUGCAUGGCUGUCGUCAGCUCGUGUUGUGAAAUGUUGGGUUAAGUCCCGNAACGAGCGCAACCCUUAUCCUUUGUUGCCAGCGAUUCGGUCGGGAACUCAAAGGAGACUGCCGGUGAUAAACCGGAGGAAGGUGGGGAUGACGUCAAGUCAUCAUGGCCCUUACGGCCAGGGCUACACACGUGCUACAAUGGCGCAUACAAAGAGAAGCGACCUCGCGAGAGCAAGCGGACCUCAUAAAGUGCGUCGUAGUCCGGAUUGGAGUCUGCAACUCGACUCCAUGAAGUCGGAAUCGCUAGUAAUCGUAGAUCAGAAUGCUACGGUGAAUACGUUCCCGGGCCUUGUACACACCGCCCGUCACACCAUGGGAGUGGGUUGCAAAAGAAGUAGGUAGCUUAACCUUCGGGAGGGCGCUUACCACUUUGUGAUUCAUGACUGGGGUGAAGUCGUAACAAGGUAGGCGUAGACGU
This 529-nucleotide ribosomal RNA is filed under the name uncultured bacterium. RNAcentral describes it as "bacterial SSU rRNA". It matches the Rfam family "Bacterial small subunit ribosomal RNA", at positions 984 to 1509 of the family's 1533-position model. The record is from RNAcentral.